This 756-nucleotide long non-coding RNA is filed under the name Setaria italica (foxtail millet). RNAcentral's name for it is "long non-coding RNA (SITA_LNC003188)". Lineage: Eukaryota; Viridiplantae; Streptophyta; Magnoliopsida; Poales; Poaceae. The record is from RNAcentral.
UGGAGCGGACGCCGUUAGGCGUUACAUAACCGGAAUUACCGGGCUUGCAGUUUCGGAGUUGAGUAAAUUCCUUUUGUGACAUUGAAAACUAUACCAAUCCCUUAUGUACCAUCCAAAAUUAGAGCGUCUCUUCAGUGCCAUUGAUUUUAAUUUCCCAUCCCCUGUGUACCACUACCAUCACUUUUAUCCUAACGGCGUUAAAAACUCCCCUCAAAUGCGUUGUUCUCUCUCCUUCUCUCCGAUUCUCUUGACUUUCUCCUCUCUCUCCUGUUCUCCUGUCGCACAAAUCAAGUGCCACCCACAACAUAAUUUCUCCAAUCUCCAACACAAAAUGGAUUGCUAAUCCAUGCUACUUCACAAUCUAAUGUUUCAACUUUGGAUUGUUGCAAAGGGAGCUUGGAUUUAGCAUCAAGGGGCGCGCGGAGCGAGGAUGCAGGGGCGGUGGCGGAGGCAGAGUCGCACCAGGGGCACCGUCACGGGAAGCCCGGCGGCGUCACCAUGGCCCGGCGCUGCGCGCGACAGGGGUGCGGGUCCGCGGUCCGGCGCGGCGACUGGAUGCAGGGAGCGUCGCGAGGAUGGCGGACCGAGCGGCCGCGUGCCGGGCCACGGCGCGACGCUGGGCCGACGCGCAUGGAUUUCAGGAUAGCCAUAGGAUUUCUGCAGGGCCGGAGCACACGAAAGUGACACUCCAGUUGCUCAAUGCCAUGGAUGAGCUCGUCUCCUCCAGCAGCUCUCUUUCCCCCGCCCCCAUCUUCU